GCCUGGUUGGCUUAGUUGGUAGAGCAUGUGACUCUUGAUCUCAGGGUGGUGAGUUCAAGCCCCACAGUGGGUG
This 73-nucleotide transfer RNA is filed under the name Ailuropoda melanoleuca (giant panda). It matches the Rfam family "tRNA". Rfam says of the family: Transfer RNA (tRNA) molecules are approximately 80 nucleotides in length. Their secondary structure includes four short double-helical elements and three loops (D, anti-codon, and T loops). Lineage: Eukaryota; Metazoa; Chordata; Mammalia; Carnivora; Ursidae. The record is from Rfam by way of RNAcentral.